Salmo trutta (river trout) is the source of this 1837-nucleotide long non-coding RNA. Lineage: Eukaryota; Metazoa; Chordata; Actinopteri; Salmoniformes; Salmonidae. The record is from Ensembl.
UGCAUGUCUUUAGUUUUGUAUUCUGACUGAUUUGCUGUAGAUGUCGAUGAGUGUGCCGAUCAGCCAACACCGUGCCCCCAAAACAUGGACUGCCUCAACACACCUGGGUCAUACAUGUGUACAGACCUGGACCUGUCCUCCCUGUCUGCAGUCUCAGUGAUCUCUGCAGUAAUAGCUGUGGUUGGUGGUGUGGCCAUCAUGUUGGGCAUACUGGCCUGUUGUAGAAGGUAUUUUCCAAAGAAGCCAGAACCAAUAAACAGAACCGAUAAACAGAACCGAUAAACAGAACCGAUAAACAGAACCAAUAAACAGUGGUUGCUGUAAGAGGGACAGAUAACCAAGCGACACCUCUGGAAAUAUAGUCCUUACAUAUUUCAUUACAUUUUAGUAUUUUGUUUUAAAAAUGUGACAUAUAUCCCAAAAGUAUGCACUUGAAUGUGUUGAUAUUAAAACGUAACUUCAGAUUAUUUGUUAGAUAAUAACCUGGAAAUAAGAAAUAACUGAAUUGUAACCUCAUUUUAGACCACAGUCACAUUAUAUAUAAAACCUCAAAGGUCUGACUCAAAGUGUAGAAAGUAAUUCACUGUAUUUGGUGCAUAUGUCCCGCCGUACAGUAUUUGGACAGUGACAAUUUUUGUUGUUGUAUUUCUGUUUAGUGACAUAAAACGACGCAAUACAUUAUUUGCCAUUCAUUUCUAUUGGCCACAAAAAAAAUUCUGAAACACAACCAAAACAAACAGCAAAUGCAUCCAACAAGUUUAAGUUACAAGCUUGAUGUUGUUAUUGUGUGAUAGGAAUAUGGGACCAAAUACUAAACUAUACAAGCUUGAUGUUGUUAUUGUGUGAUAGGAAUAUGGGACCAAAUACUAAACUAUACAAGCUUGAUGUUGUUAUUGUGUGAUAGGAAUAUGGGACCAAAUACUAAACUAUACAAGCUUGAUGUUGUUAUUGUGUGAUAGGAAUAUGGGACCAAAUACUAAACUAUACAAGCUUGAUGUUGUUAUUGUGUGAUAGGAAUAUGGGACCAAAUACUAAACUAUACAAGCUUGAUGUUGUUAUUGUGUGAUAGGAAUAUGGGACCAAAUACUAAACUAUACAAGCUUGAUGUUGUUAUUGUGUGAUAGGAAUAUGGGACCAAAUACUAAACUAUACAAGCUUGAUGUUGUUAUUGUGUGAUAGGAAUAUGGGACCAAAUACUAAACUAUACAAGCUUGAUGUUGUUAUUGUGUGAUAGGAAUAUGGGACCAAAUACUAAACUAUACAAGCUUGAUGUUGUUAUUGUGUGAUAGGAAUAUGGGACCAAAUACUAAACUAUACAAGCUUGAUGUUGUUAUUGUGUGAUAGGAAUAUGGGACCAAAUACUAAACUAUACAAGCUUGAUGUUGUUAUUGUGUGAUAGGAAUAUGGGACCAAAUACUAAACUAUACAAGCUUGAUGUUGUUAUUGUGUGAUAGGAAUAUGGGACCAAAUACUAAACUAUACAAGCUUGAUGUUGUUAUUGUGUGAUAGGAAUAUGGGACCAAAUACUAAACUUUUCACUACUUUAAUACACAUAAGUGAAUUUGUCUAAAUACUUUUGGUUGCCUAAAAGUUAAAUGUACAAAAAGUGCUGUAAUUCCUAAACGGUUUACCUGAAAAUUCCCUCAAAUUAAAGCUGCCAGUCGGCACUGUCAGCUUUGAAAUCCAAAUUGCUGGAGUACAGAGCCAAAACAAAACAACAUGUGUCACAGUCCAAAUACUUGGAUAUCAGUGUAUUUGUCUGUUCUAGUCAACGUGUUUGAAGCUCAUAAACAUGAACAAGCUAACAGCAUUAAAGGGCAUUACAGUUUAAAAAUAU